GAGAGCAGCAGCUCGGGGCGUGGUCCGGCCUGCGCGAAGGCGGAAGGACUCUUUGGACGGUGAGCUCCGGGUUCUCACCCACGAGAUCCCACAGCCCUCAGGACCGGCACGCCUGGGACUGCAGCAUGGAGGCCGGGCUGCUGUGGUUCUGCAACUGGAGCACGCUGGGCGUGUGCGCCGCACUCAAGCUGCCGCAGAUCUACGCGCAGCUGACGGCACGCAGCGCGCGGGGCAUCAGCCUCCCCAGUUUACUUUUGGAGUUGGCAGGGUUCCUGGUCUUCUUUCGCUACCAAUAUUACUAUGGGAACCCGCUGCUCACCUACCUGGAAUACCCCAUCCUCAUUGCACAGGACAUCAUCCUCCUGCUCUUCGUCUUUCACUUCAAUGGGAACAUGAAGCAGGCCUUGCCCUACGCAGCAGUAUUUGUGUCUUCUUGGUUCAUCCUCAGCCUGCAGAAGUGGAUCAUCGACCUGGCCAUGAACUUAAGCACAGUCAUCAGUGUGGCCAGUAAGUUUGCCCAGCUUCAGUAUCUGUGGAAGGUCCAGGACUCAGGAGCUGUGAGCGCGCUGACCUGGGGCCUCUCUUCCUACACCUGUGCAACAAGAAUAAUAACAACUUUAAUGACCACCAAUGAUUUGACAACCUCAAGCAGUCGGUCCUGUUGCCUCAGCUUCCCUCAUGGGUCCACACUUUACUAGAUUGGUCUUCGUAGAAUGCAGCAUUCUGAGACACCCCAUGUUCUUAAGAUGUAAGUAAAGGGGUCUUAGUUGCACGUCUUAGCCAGAGCCACAGCACUUCAAUGAAGCACCGAGGAUGCAUGGCCAAGCGCCUAAGUUCUCAUCCGUUUUGUGGUCAUGUUGGCUUUAAACAUAUGGGUAACAAUAACAGUAUUGCGCUAUCGGAAGCCUGUCACCAAAGCCGAAUGAUGGAUACAUUCUUUCCACACAAUGGACUUCAAGUAACUGAACCAGGGAUGCAACGUUGCUUUCCACUGCUACAUUUAAAGUCUUUUACUAGUCAAUCAUUUCAGAAAUUUUAAAUCAGGUUUGUUAGAGUUGAAAAGCCUCUUAUCUGGAUAUGGAGGUGCAAACCUACAAUCCUAGCACUUGGGAGUUCAAGGUAGCCUGGGCUAUACAGCAGACUCAGAAGGAAAAAGGUAGAAGGAAAGAACUACUUGUUUUAAAAUGCCAACUUCCUUCCCCCAACUCCCAUAGGUUGUGGUAGGGCUUAGACACUGGGGUUGUUUGGUUGGUGGGUGUGUGUGUGUGUGUGUGUGUGUGUGUGUGUGUGUGUUGAGAUAAAGUCUCACUACAUAGCCCAAGCUAUCCUUCAACUGUGAUCCUUUCUCAGCCUCUGAGCACUGGGAGUGCUGGAAUACAGAGGGGACCACCACACCUGGCUUGACAUCUGCCAUGAUGGAAGCUGCCCAAGAAACCAUUUUAACCCUUAAAGUCAGGACUAAGUUCUCUCUGGAGAGCCAGUUACAUCUAUACUUCGGCUUUCAGAAUCUAUAAUAGUCUUCCCACAAGGAGUGCAGUCUGCUCAGUCACGCCUGACAGUUUAACCCUUCCAUGACCAAGGGCUUGGCCUUGCAUGUCACAAUGCAGAGUGACAUCUGCUCAAGGCAAGCGAGGCUAUCACAGUGCACACAGAUGUUGCUGGGUCUAUAACUAAGUAUGCUCCAACGCUUCACAGUGUGCCUUACACCAUUUCUAACAGAUCCCUGAUCUCUGUUUAGAGGAGGAAAUCCUAACAGCCUUCCUGAUUUGAGCACAAUGUAGCCUUUUUUAAAAAGGGGGUCAUACCUCAUAGUUACACUGCUGGAACUUAGUAUUGGUUUUAGCUACUGGAAGGUAUGCAGUAAAGAGUAUUGCUAAGCCCUACCCAAUUCUCGGGGAUUUUAUUCUUACUAAUGUAACAUAUCCUAAGCAUUGUUCACAGUGUUUCCGCUGAUGUUUUAUAAACCUAACAUUUAAAAGUGCACUUUCUUCUUCUAUAUGCAUGUCAUUAUUCGGGCAUAUUGUAAGUAAGUAAAUGAUGUUUACUGGAAAAUGUUUAGUUUCCUAUAUAAAAUAAACUUUCGCUUAUUGAAUUCCACUGAA
Non-coding RNA from Cricetulus griseus (Chinese hamster), 2102 nucleotides. NCBI's taxonomy places the organism in Eukaryota, Metazoa, Chordata, Mammalia, Rodentia, Cricetidae. The record is from RefSeq and is a predicted model, not a curated record.